GAUGAACGCUAGCGGCAGGCCUAAUACAUGCAAGUCGGACGGGAUUCAGGAGCUUGCUUCUGAUGAGAGUGGCGCACGGGUGCGUAACACGUAUGUAACCUACCUUUAUCAGGGGGAUAGCCUCUCGAAAGAGAGAUUAAGCCCGCAUAAAAUCACAGCACAGCAUUGUGUAAUGAUCAAAUAUUUAUAGGAUAAAGAUGGGCAUGCGGAACAUUAGCUAGAUGGCGGGGUAACGGCACACCAUGGCGACGAUGUUUAGGGGAUCUGAGAGGAUGGCCACCCACACUGGUACUGAGACACGGACCAGACUCCUACGGGAGGCAGCAGUAAGGAAUAUUGGUCAAUGGGCGGAAGCCUGAACCAGCCAGGCCGCGUGCAGGAAGACGGCCCUACGGGUUGUAAACUGCUUUUAUACGGGAAUAAACCCAGAUACGUGUAUCUGGCUGAAUGUACUGUAAGAAUAAGGAUCGGCUAACUCCGUG
This 482-nucleotide ribosomal RNA is filed under the name uncultured bacterium. RNAcentral's name for it is "partial 16S ribosomal RNA". It matches the Rfam family "Bacterial small subunit ribosomal RNA", at positions 28 to 507 of the family's 1533-position model. The record is from RNAcentral.